Molecule: transfer RNA, 155 nt
Filed under: Merostachys sp. Greco 18
Lineage: Eukaryota; Viridiplantae; Streptophyta; Magnoliopsida; Poales; Poaceae
Description: tRNA-Ile
Rfam family: tRNA (bases 82-155)
Source: RNAcentral
GCCUUGAUGGUGAAAUGGUAGACACGCGAGACUCAAAAUCUCGUGCUAAAGAGCGUGGAGGUUCGAGUCCUCUUCAAGGCAGCAUCCAUGGCUGAAUGGUUAAAGCGCCCAACUCAUAAUUGGUAAAUUUGCGGGUUCAAUUCCUGCUGGAUGCA